Molecule: non-coding RNA, 2300 nt
Organism: Nicotiana tabacum (common tobacco)
Lineage: Eukaryota; Viridiplantae; Streptophyta; Magnoliopsida; Solanales; Solanaceae
Source: RefSeq, a predicted model, not a curated record
CCAAAAACAAAUUCUAUAUUUUCAAUUCCCUCUCUUUCUCUAUCUCAUCCCGCCUAUGGCAUCUCUCUCUACAUACUAGGAGUAAUCAAUUUUCUAUUGUUGUUGUCGCUUAAUCUAUCCAGCCGAAAGAGACAAUCUCGUCAAUUUAAAGAAACCAAGGAUUAACCUUUCAAUAUUCCAUGAAUUUGAAGAUAGGGGAUUUGAACAAACUCCAGUUUGAAGAGUUGGGUCUUCAGAGGGAUGAUUGGUUGAUAAGGGUUAGAAUUUGUAGAAUGUGGGAUUCUCUUAAUCCCAAGAAAAAUGGAGAGUUAAUUGGCUUGGAUAUGAUCUUUAUUGACGAAAAGGAAAAUUUGAUGCAUGCUACAAUCAACAAGAAACUAUAUAACAAGUUUAAGGAUAAGUUGACUAAAGGUUCUUUGUCUGUUAUCAAGAACUUCAAAGUUGUUGAAAGUAGUGGUGGAUAUAGGCCUGUUGAAAGUAAUUUUAAAAUUAAUUUCUUACUUAAAACUGCCGUCAAGAGUCUAGAAGAAGAUAUUGUUAAUAUUCCUAUAAAUGGAUUUCAGUUUAUCACACCAGAUAUGAUCGACUCAAGGGUGAACAAUAACACUGUGUUAUCAGGUAUAUUCAUUAUAAUUUUUGCUAUCUUUUUUUUUAAAUAUCCAUGUGAUUCUUAAAUAACUACUUUAUGCUCUUCAUUUGGACAUGUGGUGGGCUGUUUGUGCGGAGUUGGAGACAUGGAGACUGUUGGCUCGAGGUGGAAAAAAAGGGACAUUCAAAUUGUUACUGAUUAGUGAAUCGUUUUUCAUUUUAUGUUUGUUUAAUUUGUAAAUCCUCCAGAACUUUCAUUUCUUAUUAUGUUUCAAUGCCUCUUCCUCAAUCCAUAUUUCUGUUGUAGUUCUGUCAAAGCAAAAAUUACUUUAUGGGAAGAAUUUGGUGAGAAAUUCGAUCCUUAUUUGUACAAAAAUGAUUCUGACCCAUAUAUCGUGAUAGUAACCGCUACAACAGUUAAAGAAUUCCGUGGUAAUUGUUUUAGAUUUAAUGAUUAAAGUUAUAUACUCUGUUACUUUGAAUAUUAGAAUAAAACUAUUCAUUAUUGCAUUCAUUAUCAAUAGGUGAGGUUAGCUUCGCCACCAGCUACGCAAGCAAAAUAUAUGUAAAUCUCAAUGUAGACUUCAUAACUUCUUUGAUCCAAAAGUUUGCAACAGUCUCUGUUGGAGUACAAACUAUUGAACGUUCUAAUGUUAAUAGCAUUCCGAUUAAGGAAGAUAUGUUUUUUAACAGGAUGAACAUCAAGGAGUUGUUGGAUUGCGACUGGAGUCCUGAAUUAGAGGAAUACAUUGUUACCAUGAGGGGAGAGAUUACAAAUAGACAACCAUUUUGGUUGGUACCAUAUUUCAUGCAAUGCGUGCUCAAAGAAGAUCGAAGCUGAAAAUGGUGUCUAUAAUUGCCAUAUUUGCAACAAAGAAUGCAAGUUUCCUUUGUUGAAGUAAGAAACCAAUCUCUAAUGUGAAUUUGAUUCAUGUUAUUAUUUAAACUAACUUAUUAUGUAAAUCAAGGUAUAAGAUACACCUAAAAGUCAAAGACAAAACUGCGGAGAGCAGUGUUGUCCUAUUUAAUCCUGUUGCAGAGAAGCUACUUGAUACAUCAGCCCACAAGUUGUUAAACAGGCUGUCAUUAGAUAACAAUGAUGUACCUAUCCAAAUCCAAAGCCUUUGCAAAAAAGAAUUUAUUUUCAAGCUAAAAUUAAACAAUUAUAAUUUGCAAGAGGGGCUUGAAAAUUUUACCAUAUCAAAGGUUUUCGUUCCAGUUGAGAAUUUGGAAAUACAAUACCAAUCGAGGAAAGAUAAGAAGGGAAAAAGCUUAUUGGAGGAUGAAAAUGAACCAAAGGAGCAGAAAAUAAAAAGAUUAAUUAAAAAAAGGCUGUUGAUGUCUCAUUCGAUAACUUGGAAGACUCUGAUGAAGAUCAACAUGUCAAUGAUGGUGUUAAGAAUAGAGAGUGAAGAAACAUAAUCAUAGACGACGAUGAAUUUAGUGAUGAAAACACCAACAAAUGCAAAUAGUAGAGUCUUUAGUGUUGGUUAUAGCAUAUUGUGUGUGCUUAAAUAAAACUAUUUGGUCCUCUUUUUAGCCUUUUGUUUGGUUGUUUGAAAGACUGCGAAGAACCCUGUCAAAGUUGUUGGUCAUUCACAUCACUUUAGAAUAUGGAAAGUGCUGGCUUCUUCACUGAAAAACUUGAGCUCGGUUUGUCAACUAUGUCCUGAAGUUUGUUUUGAUUUGAUUUCUACCUCUUUGUUAUGGCA